This is a long non-coding RNA of Canis lupus familiaris (dog), 507 nucleotides long. RefSeq lists it as uncharacterized. The record is from RefSeq and is a predicted model, not a curated record. The transcript is spliced from 2 exons. Lineage: Eukaryota; Metazoa; Chordata; Mammalia; Carnivora; Canidae.
AUUACACAUGAGGCACCCUGUCUAAAGUAUAUGGAGUUUAUGGAAUUGCCUAGGCUUUCUGGGACCACCAAAAUGAGGGAAAUAAAGCCCAUCAAACUUUUUUUGAAAGCCACUGGAGAGGAAUAACAUACAAAAAGCUACAAGAAGACGGAUGAGAAAGUAACAUGCUUCUGGCAGCGUGUUAUCAAUUGGGAGGCAACAGUGCAUUCCCUCUAUGUGGAACAGUGAGCUGGAACCGACACUGACAGAUGACACGGCUCCUUGACAGUGAUGCCUGUACGAACUGACAGCUCCACUUGCAGUCAUUCAAGUCCACACUUUGCAGUGGAAUUUUAACGGGCUUGAUUUGCAGAAUAUGCUUUGCCUACUUCUCAGCUUGGAGUAGAAGUGAAUAAAAAUUUCAAAGCGUUCACAUUAGAUAGUGGAUUCUGGGAUCUCUUUCCCAACUUUCCUUUCCCAUCACAACUAAGAGUAACAACAGUAAAUAAAGCAUCAUCUUGAAGAAAA